Molecule: ribosomal RNA, 233 nt
Filed under: uncultured bacterium
Lineage: Bacteria
Description: partial 16S ribosomal RNA
Rfam family: Bacterial small subunit ribosomal RNA
Source: RNAcentral
GAUCCUGGCUCAGGAUGAACGCUGGCGGCAUGCCUAAUACAUGCAAGUCGAGCGAGAGGAAGGAAAGCUUGCUUUUCUGAAUCUAGUGGCGAACGGGUGAGUAACACGUAGGUAACCUGCCCAUGUGCCCGGGAUAACUUCUGGAAACGGAUGCUAAAACCGGAUAGGUAGCAGACAAGCAUUUGACUGCUAUUAAAGUGGCCUUGGCCAUGAACACGGAUGGACCUGCGGUG